Molecule: ribosomal RNA, 189 nt
Filed under: uncultured bacterium
Lineage: Bacteria
Description: partial 16S ribosomal RNA
Rfam family: Bacterial small subunit ribosomal RNA
Source: RNAcentral
CUGCACGAAGCUGGAAUCGCUAGUAAUCGCGGAUCAGCACGCCGCGGUGAAUACGUUCCCGGGCCUUGUACACACCGCCCGUCACACCAUGGAAGUCUGCAAUGCCCGAAGCCGGUGGCCUAACCACUUAUGUGGAAGGAGCCGUCUAAGGCAGGGCAGAUGACUGGGGUGAAGUCGUAACAAGGUAUC